Molecule: ribosomal RNA, 842 nt
Filed under: Clostridioides difficile
Lineage: Bacteria; Bacillati; Bacillota; Clostridia; Peptostreptococcales; Peptostreptococcaceae
Description: partial 23S ribosomal RNA
Rfam family: Bacterial large subunit ribosomal RNA
Source: RNAcentral
CCGGUGCUGGAAGGUUAAGGGGAUCUGUUAGAGCAAUCGAAGCAGUGAACUUAAGCCCCAGUAAACGGCGGCCGUAACUAUAACGGUCCUAAGGUAGCGAAAUUCCUUGUCGGGUAAGUUCCGACCCGCACGAAAGGCGUAACGAUUUGGGCACUGUCUCAACAACAGACUCGGUGAAAUUGUAAUUCCGGUGAAGAUGCCGGAUACCUGCGACAGGACGGAAAGACCCCAUGGAGCUUUACUGUAGCUUGACAUUGGGUCUUGGUACUACAUGUACAGGAUAGGUGGGAGGCUUUGAAACCAGGACGCCAGUUUUGGCGGAGCCAUCCUUGGGAUACCACCCUUGUAGUACUGGGACUCUAACCAUAGGCCAUGAAUCUGGUCUUGGGACACUGUCAGGUGGGCAGUUUGACUGGGGCGGUCGCCUCCCAAAAGGUAACGGAGGCGCUCAAAGGUUCUCUCAGUACGGUCGGAAAUCGUACGUAGAGUGUAAAGGCAAAAGAGAGCUUGAUUGCAAGACAUACAGGUCGAGCAAGGAUGAAAAUCGGACUUAGUGAUCCGGUGGUUCUGCGUGGAAGGGCCAUCGCUCAACGGAUAAAAGCUACCCUGGGGAUAACAGGCUUAUCUCCCCCAAGAGUCCACAUCGACGGGGAGGUUUGGCACCUCGAUGUCGGCUCAUCACAUCCUGGGGCUGUAGUAGGUCCCAAGGGUUGGGCUGUUCGCCCAUUAAAGUGGUACGCGAGCUGGGUUCAGAACGUCGUGAGACAGUUCGGUCCCUAUCCGUCGCAGGCGUAGGAAAUUUGAGAAGACCUGUCCUUAGUACGAGAGGACCGGGAUGGACG